RNAcentral lists this transfer RNA (71 nucleotides) under Champsocephalus gunnari (mackerel icefish). Its description in RNAcentral is "tRNA-Asp". RNAcentral also lists the same sequence under 1 other name. The record is from RNAcentral. Lineage: Eukaryota; Metazoa; Chordata; Actinopteri; Perciformes; Channichthyidae.
AAGACACUAGUAAAAUUUAAUUACACGGCCUUGUCAGGGCCAAGUUGUGAGCUAACUCCUCACGUAUCUUA